Molecule: ribosomal RNA, 497 nt
Filed under: uncultured bacterium
Lineage: Bacteria
Description: partial 16S ribosomal RNA
Rfam family: Bacterial small subunit ribosomal RNA
Source: RNAcentral
GACGAACGCUGGCGGCGUGCCUAAUACAUGCAAGUAGAACGCUGAAGAGAGGAGCUUGCUCUUCUUGGAUGAGUUGCGAACGGGUGAGUAACGCGUAGGUAACCUGCCUUGUAGCGGGGGAUAACUAUUGGAAACGAUAGCUAAUACCGCAUAACAAUGGAUGACACAUGUCAUUUAUUUGAAAGGGGCAAUUGCUCCACUACAAGAUGGACCUGCGUUGUAUUAGCUAGUAGGUGAGGUAAUGGCUCACCUAGGCGACGAUACAUAGCCGACCUGAGAGGGUGAUCGGCCACACUGGGACUGAGACACGGCCCAGACUCCUACGGGAGGCAGCAGUAGGGCAUCUUCGGCAAUGGGGGCAACCCUGACCGAGCAACGCCGCGUGAGUGAAGAAGGUUUUCGGAUCGUAAAGCUCUGUUGUAAGUCAAGAACGGGUGUGAGAGUGGAAAGUUCACACUGUGACGGUAGCUUACCAGAAAGGGACGGCUAACUACGUG